This 230-nucleotide ribosomal RNA is filed under the name uncultured bacterium. RNAcentral describes it as "partial 16S ribosomal RNA". It matches the Rfam family "Bacterial small subunit ribosomal RNA", at positions 561 to 789 of the family's 1533-position model. The record is from RNAcentral.
UAAAGGGAGCGUAGGCGGCUGAUUAAGUCAGCGGUGAAAGGUAGCAGCUUAACUGUUUUACAUGCCGUUGAUACUGGUUAGCUUGAGUUGACAGAAGGCAGAUAGAAUUCCUGGUGUAGCGGUGAAAUGCUUAGAUACCAGGAGGAAUACCGAUUGCGAAGGCAGUCUGCUGCAGUCACACUGACGCUGAGGCUCGAAGGUGCGGGGAUCAAACAGGAUUAGAUACCCGU